UUUUAAAGUUAUAAAACCCACGAUUCCCCCUCUCCAGCCGCCGCCGUUGGGGAUAUUGAAUCGUGAUGCCACUGUUACAGUUGAGAGUGCAAGAAGCUGCAUAUGAUUGCAAUAGUAGCACUUGAAUUGGUUGAGGUUAUUAGAAAUGGGCUAAAGAUUCAUCGGUAUCGAGUCCAUCUUCGGAUUCUCUAUUCCUUUUUCAUUCAGCAGGUGAAACCAUCAUAGGCGUAAGACCACUCAUUCAACAUUUUUCAAUCGGGAAUGCUUUAUGUCGUAGUGUUAACAAGCGUAUACACUCCACACUUUUCAAUCCCAACCCGUAUAUGUUCAGCAAAUACUCAUUUGCUUUUAGAGGCGGAACGUCUCUUAUCCACUCCAUAUCCUUGCUCCCGAAGUUAUCAACUAACUCCGUAAGACAAUCCUUUAUCCUUUCAGCCAAAUUGUUGUUCUGUCCUCUUAUCUGAAUGGCCUUAGAUAUCUCACCAACUCCGGCCCUCCUAACUGAAUCCUAGUCAACAGCGUCUGAUGCCUUAAACAUCUUCUUCUCGUUCUGAUUUUGGAGUGGUAAUCUUUCAUAUCAUUCAGAAGUGCAGGGUUGUGUUUUUUCUUGGUUCACAUCCUCAAAGUUUUAUCUUCUUUAACCUGUUUAACUCGUUUCCCCUCAUGCACAAUACUGUUUGAAUUUCUCGAAAAUAUAGCAGCUAGCAACAUGAAGGCCGGACUUGAAAUUGCAUCAUUCACGUUAUGUGCAAGUUAUGCUCCAACUAUAGAGUCCAUAACCGAACCUUUCCUCUUAGAAAAUUUUCUUUCACCUUGGAUAUGAUUUAUGCUUGACUGUCCAAUAAUGAUAGUACUUUUCAUCACGCUCUCCACUGCAUUCGAAGUACUAUCAUUAUUGGAUAGCCAGAUUGAGUUGUUUAUGUCACACAUGAAUUACAUCCAAGGUGAAAAAAAAAUUUCUGAGUGGAAAGGUUCGGUCAUGAACUCUAUAGUUGGAGCAUAUCUUGCACAAAACGUGAAUGAUGCGAUUUCAAGCCCGACCUUCAUGUUGCUAGCUGCUAUAUUUUCGAGAAAUUCAGGCAGUGUUUUGCAUAAAGGGAAUCAUAUGUUAAAGAAGAUAAAACCUUGAGGAUGUGAACCAAGAAAAAACAAAAUCUUGCACUUCUGAAUGAUAUGAAAGAUUGUCACUCCAAAUAUCAGAACAAGAAGAUGUCUGAUGCAUCAGACGCUGUUAACUGAGAUUCGGUUAAGAGGGCCGGAGUUGGUGAGAUAUCUAAGGCCAUUCAGAUAAGAAGACAGAACAACAAUUUGGCUGAAUGGAUAAAGGAUUGCCUUACGCAGUUAUAGUUGAUAACAUUGGAUAAGAGACGCUGCACCUCUAAAAGCAAAGGAGUACUUGCUGAACAUACACGGUCUGGUAUUGAAAAAGUGUGGAGUGCAUACGCUUGUUAACACUAUGAUAUAAAGCAUUCACGAUUGACAGAAAUGUUGGACGAGUGGUCUUACGCCAAGGAUGGUUUCACCUACUGAAUGAAAAAAGAAUAGAGAAUCUGGACUCGAUAUAGAUGCAUCUUUGGCCCAUCUCUAAUAUGGUAUCAGAGCGCGCUCAAGUCGAUGAUAGAUUUUAUCACGCCUAUUAGAAGUAGAAGACACUCUGAUGGGAUCUUCACGGACCGAAAAAGAUUGCAGUCCGUUCGAUAAUGAUCGAGUUACAUUGCUUCUUCGGCUUUUACCGAGGAAUCCCUUAGAUAUGAGAUUUCUCUAUGAAAAAUACGAAUCGGAGUUUGAAGAAGGGGGAGGCAAGGAGCCCUUGACCUGCAAUAGAUAGAGGAGGAUUUAUUCAAUCACAUAGUUUGGGCUUUCUCUUGCCUACCCACGUGAUGGAAGUUCGAUGUAUCAUUCCAGCCCACAGGUGGGGGUGUUAAAGCUAUAAAUCUUGUUCCACAUCGACACGGAGACGAUCCUAUCUCAUCUAUAUAAGAGUGGAUAACCCUGCCCCUUAUAAAGCCUUUUUAGGGGUGAGUGACCCAUUUCAAAUAGAGGUUAGUAAUUAUGAUUGGAGCUUCUUCAGAUAUGCUAAUGCUACACUAGUCAUGCCUUCUAGUCCAUUGCUGAAGUUGUCCGGUGAUGGAAAAACAUUAGAAGCAGAGGCUGCUCACGGGACUGCACCAACAGUAUUGCCUCUAUAUUUGCAUGGACGCAAGGAUUAUAACAUAAGCCAAGCUCGAUGCUAAUGAAAAACUGCCAGAAGAAGCGUGCAUCGGGACUGUGGAAUCUGGAAAGAUGACUAAAGAUCUUUCUCUUCAAAUCCACAGGCCAAAGGUUUCGAGGGCGUUUUACUUGAGCACCGAAGACUUUAUCGACGCCAUUGCACAAAAUCUCGAGUCGAAGUGAAAAUUCAUAUGCUGUAGUUUCGGUACAUGUUAUGUGAAUGUGAUAUGCACCCUCUCAGUUUCAACUAAAAUAUCAAUGGAAUCAGUGUAAUUAGCUUACAGUGAAAAACAUGGCCCUGUAUAUAUUGAUUUACAUACGUCUUUUCUUUUCUUUU
Long non-coding RNA from Salvia hispanica, 2548 nucleotides. RefSeq lists it as uncharacterized. The record is from RefSeq and is a predicted model, not a curated record. Lineage: Eukaryota; Viridiplantae; Streptophyta; Magnoliopsida; Lamiales; Lamiaceae.